GAUGAACGCUGGCGGCGUGCUUAACACAUGCAAGUCGAACGAUGAAGCCAGCUUGCUGGUGGAUUAGUGGCGAACGGGUGAGUAACACGUGAGUAACCUGCCCUUAACUCUGGGAUAAGCCUGGGAAACUGGGUCUAAUACCGGAUAUGACUUCCCAUCGCAUGGUGGGGGGUGGAAAGCUUUUGUGGUUUUGGAUGGACUCGCGGCCUAGCAGCUUGUUGGUGAGGUAAUGGCUCACCUAGGCGACGACGGGUAGCCGGCCUGAGAGGGUGACCGGCCACACUGGGACUGAGACACGGCCCAGACUCCUACGGGAGGCAGCAGUGGGGAAUAUUGCACAAUGGGCGGAAGCCUGAUGCAGCGACGCCGCGUGAGGGAUGACGGCCUUCGGGUUGUAAACCUCUUUCAGUAGGGAAGAAGCGUAAGUGACGGUACCUGCAGAAGAAGCGCCGGCUAACUACGUGCCAGCAGCCGCAGUAA
Molecule: ribosomal RNA, 480 nt
Filed under: uncultured bacterium
Lineage: Bacteria
Description: partial 16S ribosomal RNA
Rfam family: Bacterial small subunit ribosomal RNA
Source: RNAcentral